GAAGAGUUUGAUCAUGGCUCAGAUUGAACGCUGGCGGCAGGCCUAACACAUGCAAGUCGAACGGUAACAGGAAGCAGCUUGCUGCUUUGCUGACGAGUGGCGGACGGGUGAGUAAUGUCUGGGAAACUGCCUGAUGGAGGGGGAUAACUACUGGAAACGGUGGCUAAUACCGCAUAACGUCGCAAGACCAAAGAGGGGGACCUUCGGGCCUCUUGCCAUCAGAUGUGCCCAGAUGGGAUUAGCUUGUUGGUGAGGUAACGGCUCACCAAGGCGACGAUCCCUAGCUGGUCUGAGAGGAUGACCAGCCACACUGGAACUGAGACACGGUCCAGACUCCUACGGGAGGCAGCAGUGGGGAAUAUUGCACAAUGGGCGCAAGCCUGAUGCAGCCAUGCCGCGUGUAUGAAGAAGGCCUUCGGGUUGUAAAGUACUUUCAGCGGGGAGGAAGGUGUUGUGGUUAAUAACCGCAGCAAUUGACGUUACCCGCAGAAGAAGCACCGGCUAACUCCGUGCCAGCAGCCGCGGUAAUACGGAGGGUGCAAGCGUUAAUCGGAAUUACUGGGCGUAAAGCGCACGCAGGCGGUCUGUCAAGUCGGAUGUGAAAUCCCCGGGCUCAACCUGGGAACUGCAUUCGAAACUGGCAGGCUUGAGUCUUGUAGAGGGGGGUAGAAUUCCAGGUGUAGCGGUGAAAUGCGUAGAGAUCUGGAGGAAUACCGGUGGCGAAGGCGGCCCCCUGGACAAAGACUGACGCUCAGGUGCGAAAGCGUGGGGAGCAAACAGGAUUAGAUAC
This 790-nucleotide ribosomal RNA is filed under the name Salmonella enterica. Its description in RNAcentral is "bacterial SSU rRNA". It matches the Rfam family "Bacterial small subunit ribosomal RNA", at positions 1 to 785 of the family's 1533-position model. Lineage: Bacteria; Pseudomonadati; Pseudomonadota; Gammaproteobacteria; Enterobacterales; Enterobacteriaceae. The record is from RNAcentral.